Molecule: ribosomal RNA, 253 nt
Filed under: uncultured bacterium
Lineage: Bacteria
Description: partial 16S ribosomal RNA
Rfam family: Bacterial small subunit ribosomal RNA
Source: RNAcentral
UACGUAGGGGGCAAGCGUUGUCCGGAAUCAUUGGGCGUAAAGCGCGCGUAGGCGGCCCUGUAAGUCCGUUGUGAAAGUCAAAGGCUCAACCUUUGAAAGCCGAUGGAUACUGCAGGGCUAGAGUCCGGAAGAGGCGAGUGGAAUUCCUGGUGUAGCGGUGGAAUGCGCAGAUAUCAGGAGGAACACCAGUGGCGAAGGCGGCCACCUGGCUUGGUAUUGACGCUGAGGCGCGAAAGCGUGGGGAUCAAACAGG